RNAcentral lists this ribosomal RNA (677 nucleotides) under Craugastor longirostris (long-snouted whistling frog). Its description in RNAcentral is "partial 12S ribosomal RNA". It matches the Rfam family "Bacterial small subunit ribosomal RNA", at positions 63 to 1407 of the family's 1533-position model. The record is from RNAcentral. Lineage: Eukaryota; Metazoa; Chordata; Amphibia; Anura; Craugastoridae.
GGAGCUGUUAUCAGGCACGCCUAAAACAACUAGCCUCGCCACACCCACAAGGGUCUUCAGCAGUGAUUAAUCUUAAGCAUUAACGAAAGUUAGACUUAGUCAGGGUUAACAGAGCCGGCCAAUGUGGUGCCAGCCGCCGCGGUUAUACCAUGGACUCAAAUUGACCCGGCGUAAAGCGUGACUAAAGUAAAAUCAAGCUCAAACUAAGCUGUGAAAACCUUGUUCUGAGCAAGCCCAAAGACGAAAGUUAUUUUAGUUACCCUUGACUCACGACAGUUGGGGGACAAACUGGGAUUAGAUACCCCACUAUGCCCAACCGUAAACUAUCAUUUACACCGCCAGAGAACUACGAGCCAAGCUUAAAACUCAAGGGACUUGUCGGUAUCCCACCCCUCUAGAGGAGCCUGUCCUAUAAUCGAUAAUCCCCGCUAAACCUCACCCCUUCUAGCAGCCUGUAUACUUCCGUCGCUAGCCAACCACGUGAGCGAGUCGGUCUCCCGCAUAAACGUCAGGUCAAGGUGCAGCAAAUGAAGGGGGAAGAGAUGGGCUACAUUCUCUAACUUAGAGCACACGGAAAGCCACUGUGAAAUGGAAGGCGGAUUUAGAAGUAAAGCGGGAAUAGAGUGCCCUCUUUAACUCGGACCUGGGAUGCGAACACACCGCCCGUCACCCUUCUC